AUUUAAAAUCAUUUGAUUCAUGAGCUUAAUACCUAGGCGAUGGAUUGAUGUGUGUAGCAAACCACCAUGGCACACGUUACCUAUGUAACAAA
Molecule: long non-coding RNA, 92 nt
Organism: Cebus imitator (Panamanian white-faced capuchin)
Lineage: Eukaryota; Metazoa; Chordata; Mammalia; Primates; Cebidae
Exons: 3
Source: RefSeq, a predicted model, not a curated record